UCUCACACAUUCUGCACUCACACCAAACAAUUUCCAGAACAUUCCAGACAAAGGAUUACAUCGUGCGGCAGACCGAAGGCAGGAGUUUGAUGGAGGGCAGGUGCAUGGGUCGUUGGAAGGAGAGCAACUAAAAAUGACCUGGCCAGAGGGCUGAGCUGCAAGAGGAAGCAGAUGACUGCAGGGCUGGAGCAGCUGUCAUCGGGGCAUGAAGGAGAUGUCAUUGGGGGAGAAGGAGAUGUCAGCUAUGAGGCAACAUGCCAGCAGCAAAACAGGACAGCUAGAUCAUGACAAAGCCGCGUUCUCCACACAAAGCCUUCACCUCCAGUCCCGCUGCUGCCUUCCUGAAUCUAUGUGAUGUGUACAUACCAUCGGAUGGUGAAGCCACCGGACUGGGUACUGCCACACAUCAGUGUAUUUACUGCACUCACAACGCAUUUGUGCCCUUGUAUCAAGCCAAUAAAACG
This is a non-coding RNA of Pelodiscus sinensis (Chinese soft-shelled turtle), 464 nucleotides long. The record is from RefSeq and is a predicted model, not a curated record. Lineage: Eukaryota; Metazoa; Chordata; Testudines; Trionychidae.